Molecule: ribosomal RNA, 460 nt
Filed under: uncultured bacterium
Lineage: Bacteria
Description: partial 16S ribosomal RNA
Rfam family: Bacterial small subunit ribosomal RNA
Source: RNAcentral
CCUACGGGUAGCAGCAGUGAGGAAUAUUGGUCAAUGGACGAGAGUCUGAACCAGCCAAGUCGCGUGAAGGAUGACUGCCCUAUGGGUUGUAAACUUCUUUUGUCUGGGAAUAAAAUGUUCCACGUGUGGGUUUUUGUAUGUACCCUAUGAAUAAGGAUCGGCUAACUCCGUGCCAGCAGCCGCGGUAAUACGGAGGAUUCGCGCGUUAUCCGGAUUUAUUGGGUUUAAAGGGUGCGUAGGGGGAUUGUUAAGUCAGGUGUGAACGUUGGGGGCUCAACCGUAAGAGUGCAGUUGAAACUGGCAGUCUUGAGUACAGUAGAGGUAGGCGGAAGUCGUGGUGUAGCGGUGAAAUGCUUAGAUAUCACGAAGAACUCCGAUUGCGAAGGCAGCUUACUGGAGUGCAACUGACACUGAGGCUCGAAAGUGUGGGUAUCAAACAGGAUUAGAUACCCUAGUAGUC